Molecule: ribosomal RNA, 496 nt
Filed under: uncultured bacterium
Lineage: Bacteria
Description: partial 16S ribosomal RNA
Rfam family: Bacterial small subunit ribosomal RNA
Source: RNAcentral
GAUGAACGCUGGCGGCGUGCCUAAUACAUGCAAGUCGAGCGAACAGACGAGGAGCUUGCUCCUCUGACGUUAGCGGCGGACGGGUGAGUAACACGUGGAUAACCUACCUAUAAGACUGGGAUAACUUCGGGAAACCGGAGCUAAUACCGGAUAACAUGUUGAACCGCAUGGUUCAACAGUGAAAGACGGUCUUGCUGUCACUUAUAGAUGGAUCCGCGCCGCAUUAGCUAGUUGGUAAGGUAACGGCUUACCAAGGAAACGGUGCGAAGCCGACCUGAGAGGUGGACGGGCACACUGGGAAUGGAGCCACGUCCCAGCCCCCACCGGGAGGCAGGGGAAGGGAUUCUCCGGAAAGGAACGAAGCCCUGACGGGCAACCGCCGCGUGGGGAAAGAGGGUUUGCGGUUCGUAAACCUCUGUUAUUAGGAAAGAAAAAAUGUGAAGUAACUAUGCACGUCUUGACGGUACCUAAUCAGAAAGCCACGGCUAACUACGUG